GUGGGGAAUCUUGCGCAAUGGGCGAAAGCCUGACGCAGCAACGCCGCGUGCGGGAUGAAGGCUCUCGGGUCGUAAACCGCUUUCAGCAGGGACGAAACUGACUGUACCUGCAGAAGAAGCCCCGGCUAAAUACGUGCCAGCAGCCGCGGUAAUACGUAUGGGGCAAGCGUUAUCCGGAUUCAUUGGGCGUAAAGAGCGCGUAGGCGGCUUGCUAAGUCAGAUGUGAAACCUGGGGGCUCAACCCGCAGCGUGCAUCUGAAACUGGCAGGCUUGAGUCUGGUAGAGGAAAGUGGAAUUCCCAGUGUAGCGGUGAAAUGCGCAGAUAUUGGGAGGAACACCAGUGGCGAAGGCGGCUUUCUGGGCCACGACUGACGCUGAGGCGCGAAAGCUAGGGGAGCAAACAGGAUUAGAAACCCGGGUAGUCC
RNAcentral lists this ribosomal RNA (425 nucleotides) under uncultured bacterium. RNAcentral's name for it is "bacterial SSU rRNA". It matches the Rfam family "Bacterial small subunit ribosomal RNA", at positions 354 to 796 of the family's 1533-position model. The record is from RNAcentral.